GAUGAAGAACGUAGCGAAAUGCGAUAAGUAAUGUGAAUUGCAGAAUUCAGUGAAUCAUCGAAUCUUUGAACGCACAUUGCGCCCCUUGGUAUUCCGAGGGGCAUGCCUGUUCGAGCGUCAUUAUAACCCCUCAAGCUCAGCUUGGUGUUGGGGCCUGCCGCACGGGCAGCCCUUAAAAUCAGUGGCGGUGCCAUCUGGCUCUAAGCGUAGUAAUUCUUCUCGCUAUAGAGUCACGGUGGAUGCUUGCCAUUAACCCCCAAUUUUCAAUGGUUGACCUCGGAUCAGGUAGGGAUACCCGCUGAACUUAAGCAUAUCAAUAAGCGGAGGA
RNAcentral lists this unclassified non-coding RNA (328 nucleotides) under soil metagenome. RNAcentral's name for it is "partial contains 5.8S ribosomal RNA, internal transcribed spacer 2, and large subunit ribosomal RNA". The stretch from base 1 to 120 matches the Rfam family "5.8S ribosomal RNA", at positions 35 to 154 of the family's 154-position model. The record is from RNAcentral.